RNAcentral lists this ribosomal RNA (505 nucleotides) under uncultured bacterium. Its description in RNAcentral is "partial 16S ribosomal RNA". It matches the Rfam family "Bacterial small subunit ribosomal RNA", at positions 28 to 507 of the family's 1533-position model. The record is from RNAcentral.
GACGAACGCUGGCGGCGUGCCUAAUACAUGCAAGUAGAGCGCACAGUUUAUACCGUAGCUUGCUACACCAUAGACUGUGAGUUGCGAACGGGUGAGUAACGCGUAGGUAACCUGCCUGGUAGCGGGGGAUAACUAUUGGAAACGAUAGCUAAUACCGCAUAAUAUUAAUUAUUGCAUGAUAAUUAAUUGAAAGGUGCAAUUGCACCACUACCAGAUGGACCUGCGUUGUAUUAGCUAGUAGGUGAGGUAACGGCUCACCUAGGCGACGAUACAUAGCCGACCUGAGAGGGUGAUCGGCCACACUGGGACUGAGACACGGCCCAGACUCCUACGGGAGGCAGCAGUAGGGAAUCUUCGGCAAUGGACGAAAGUCUGACCGAGCAACGCCGCGUGAGUGAAGAAGGUUUUCGGAUCGUAGAGCUCUGUUGUAAGAGAAGAACGGGUGUGAGAGUGGAAAGUUCACACUGUGACGGUAUCUUACCAGAAAGGGACGGCUAACUACGUG